RNAcentral lists this ribosomal RNA (784 nucleotides) under uncultured bacterium. RNAcentral's name for it is "bacterial SSU rRNA". It matches the Rfam family "Bacterial small subunit ribosomal RNA", at positions 62 to 858 of the family's 1533-position model. The record is from RNAcentral.
UUGAGCGGAGAUAUAUGGAGCUUGCUUUAUAUAACUUAGCAGCGAACGGGUGAGUAACACGUAGAUAAUCUAUCCUAUACUGGGGGAUAGCCCGAUGAAAGUUGGAUUAAUACCGCAUAUAGCUAUAUAGUUGCAUGAUUAUGUAGUGAAAGAUUUAUUGGUAUAGGAGGAGUCUGCGGCACAUUAGCUAGUAGGUGAGGUAAAGGCUUACCUAGGCGACGAUGUGUAGCCGGUCUGAGAGGAUGAACGGCCACAAUGGAACUGAGACACGGUCCAUACUCCUACGGGAGGCAGCAGUGGGGAAUAUUGCACAAUGGGGGAAACCCUGAUGCAGCAACGCCGCGUGAGUGAAGAAGGUUUUCGGAUUGUAAAGCUCUGUUAGCAGGGAAGAGGAAGGACGGUACCUGCAGAGGAAGCCACGGCUAACUACGUGCCAGCAGCCGCGGUAAUACGUAGGUGGCAAGCGUUGUUCGGAAUAACUGGGCGUAAAGGAUGCGUAGGCGGUUAAACAAGUUAUAUGUUAAAUAUAUAGGCUUAACCUGUAGAAAGCAUAUAAAACUGUUUAACUAGAGCGCAGGAGAGGUAAGUGGAAUUCAUAGUGUAGCGGUGAAAUGCGUAGAGAUUAGGAAGAACACCAGUGGCGAAGGCGACUUACUGGACUGUAACUGACGCUGAGGCAUGAGAGCAUGGGGAGCAAACAGGAUUAGAUACCCUGGUAGUCCAUGCUGUAAACGAUGGGUACUAGGUGUGGGUUGUGAAUAACAAUUCGUGCCGUCGCAAACGC